RNAcentral lists this ribosomal RNA (243 nucleotides) under uncultured bacterium. RNAcentral describes it as "partial 16S ribosomal RNA". It matches the Rfam family "Bacterial small subunit ribosomal RNA", at positions 28 to 261 of the family's 1533-position model. The record is from RNAcentral.
GAUGAACGCUGGCGGCGUGCUUAACACAUGCAAGUCGAGCGAAGCACCUUGAAGUCUUCGGACUAAGAGGUGACUGAGCGGCGGACGGGUGAGUAACGCGUGGGUAACCUGCCUCAUACAGGGGGAUAACAGUUAGAAAUGACUGCUAAUACCGCAUAAGACCACGGUGCCGCAUGGCAGAGUGGUAAAAACUCCGGUGGUAUGAGAUGGACCCGCGUCUGAUUAGGUAGUUGGUGGGGUAAC